Molecule: ribosomal RNA, 253 nt
Filed under: uncultured bacterium
Lineage: Bacteria
Description: partial 16S ribosomal RNA
Rfam family: Bacterial small subunit ribosomal RNA
Source: RNAcentral
UACGUAGGGUGCAAGCGUUGUCCGGAAUUAUUGGGCGUAAAGAGUUCGUAGGCGGUUUGUCGCGUCGGGAGUGAAAAUCCAGGGCUUAACUCUGGACUGGCUUUCGAUACGGGCAGACUAGAGGUAUGCAGGGGAGAACGGAAUUCCUGGUGUAGCGGUGAAAUGCGCAGAUAUCAGGAGGAACACCGGUGGCGAAGGCGGUUCUCUGGGCAUUACCUGACGCUGAGGAGCGAAAGUGUGGGGAGCGAACAGG